RNAcentral lists this ribosomal RNA (912 nucleotides) under uncultured bacterium. RNAcentral describes it as "bacterial SSU rRNA". It matches the Rfam family "Bacterial small subunit ribosomal RNA", at positions 8 to 879 of the family's 1533-position model. The record is from RNAcentral.
AGAGUUUGAUCCUGGCUCAGGACGAACGCUGGCGGCGUGCCUAAUACAUGCAAGUCGAGCGAGCUUGCCUAGAUGAUUUUAGUGCUUGCACUAAAUGAAACUAGAUACAAGCGAGCGGCGGACGGGUGAGUAACACGUGGGUAACCUGCCUAAGAGACUGGGAUAACACCUGGAAACAGAUGCUAAUACCGGAUAACAACACUAGACGCAUGUCUAGAGUUUGAAAGAUGGUUCUGCUAUCACUCUUGGAUGGACCUGCGGUGCAUUAGCUAGUUGGUAAGGUAACGGCUUACCAAGGCAAUGAUGCAUAGCCGAGUUGAGAGACUGAUCGGCCACAUUGGGACUGAGACACGGCCCAAACUCCUACGGGAGGCAGCAGUAGGGAAUCUUCCACAAUGGACGAAAGUCUGAUGGAGCAACGCCGCGUGAGUGAAGAAGGGUUUCGGCUCGUAAAGCUCUGUUGGUAGUGAAGAAAGAUAGAGGUAGUAACUGGCCUUUAUUUGACGGUAAUUACUUAGAAAGUCACGGCUAACUACGUGCCAGCAGCCGCGGUAAUACGUAGGUGGCAAGCGUUGUCCGGAUUUAUUGGGCGUAAAGCGAGUGCAGGCGGUUCAAUAAGUCUGAUGUGAAAGCCUUCGGCUCAACCGGAGAAUUGCAUCAGAAACUGUUGAACUUGAGUGCAGAAGAGGAGAGUGGAACUCCAUGUGUAGCGGUGGAAUGCGUAGAUAUAUGGAAGAACACCAGUGGCGAAGGCGGCUCUCUGGUCUGCAACUGACGCUGAGGCUCGAAAGCAUGGGUAGCGAACAGGAUUAGAUACCCUGGUAGUCCAUGCCGUAAACGAUGAGUGCUAAGUGUUGGGAGGUUUCCGCCUCUCAGUGCUGCAGCUAACGCAUUAAGCACUCCGCCUGGGGA